RNAcentral lists this small nuclear RNA (107 nucleotides) under Mus pahari (shrew mouse). The record is from RNAcentral. Lineage: Eukaryota; Metazoa; Chordata; Mammalia; Rodentia; Muridae.
AUGCUCGCUUCACCAGCUCACAUGCUAAUGUUGGAGUGCUAUUGAGAGCAUUAGCACGGCCUCUGCUCAAGAGUGACCUGCAUAUCUGGGAAGUGGUUUAUAUUUAA